This 497-nucleotide ribosomal RNA is filed under the name uncultured bacterium. RNAcentral's name for it is "partial 16S ribosomal RNA". It matches the Rfam family "Bacterial small subunit ribosomal RNA", at positions 28 to 507 of the family's 1533-position model. The record is from RNAcentral.
GAUGAACGCUGGCGGCGUGCCUAAUACAUGCAAGUCGAGCGAACAGACGAGGAGCUUGCUCCUCUGACGUUAGCGGCGGACGGGUGAGUAACACGUGGAUAACCUGCCUAUAAGACUGGGAUAGCUUCGGGAAACCGGAGCUAAUACCGGAUAAUAUAUUGAACCGCAUGGUUCAAUAGUGAAAGACGGUUUUGCUGUCACUUAUAGAUGGAUCCGCGCCGCAUUAGCUAGUUGGUAAGGUAACGGCUUACCAAGGCAACGAUGCGUAGCCGACCUGAGAGGGUGAUCGGCCACACUGGAACUGAGACACGGUCCAGACUCCUACGGGAGGCAGCAGUAGGGAAUCUUCCGCAAUGGGCGAAAGCUUGACGGAGCAACGCCGCGUGAGUGAUGAAGGUCUUCGGAUCGUAAAACUCUGUUAUUAGGGAAGAACAAAUGUGUAAGUAACUAUGCACGUCUUGACGGUACCUAAUCAGAAAGCCACGGCUAACUACGUG